This is a non-coding RNA of Manis javanica (Malayan pangolin), 346 nucleotides long. Lineage: Eukaryota; Metazoa; Chordata; Mammalia; Pholidota; Manidae. The record is from RefSeq and is a predicted model, not a curated record.
GCGGGCAUCGGGGUUUUCAGAAAUCCUCAUGUGUUCUGGCUCCCCAAAUUCUUUCUUAGAAUAAUGUCAAGUUGACAGUGAGCCUUUGGGCCCUGGACUUGGGUCAGGCACGUGGGGUGCACACGGAUGUUUAGUGAUUCCUGUCAGUCCUUGGAAAGUGAUCCUGGCUCCUGCUUCGGUCUCGUGAUGGCCCCACCCGCCAGGUGUGUUUGCCCCCCGGGAGUCUCUCCAAGUUCUAGCAGUCCUUCACGCUCUCCAGUGUCCACCCCGUGAAGGUGCGGAGCACGUUCUUUCUGCAGCUGCUCGUGGGAGUGCACUGCCCCGGCUCCCUCCCUGUGCCGAUGAU